UGCAGUCGACGAGUUCUGAUUAUUGAAAGGUGCUUGCAUCUUGAUUUAAUUUUGAACGAGUGGCGGACGGGUGAGUAACACGUGGGUAACCUGCCCUUAAGUGGGGGAUAACAUUUGGAAACAGAUGCUAAUACCGCAUAAAUCCAAGAACCGCAUGGUUCUUGGCUGAAAGAUGGCGUAAGCUAUCGCUUUUGGAUGGACCCGCGGCGUAUUAGCUAGUUGGUGAGGUAACGGCUCACCAAGGCAAUGAUACGUAGCCGAACUGAGAGGUUGAUCGGCCACAUUGGGACUGAGACACGGCCCAAACUCCUACGGGAGGCAGCAGUAGGGAAUCUUCCACAAUGGACGCAAGUCUGAUGGAGCAACGCCGCGUGAGUGAAGAAGGCUUUCGGGUCGUAAAACUCUGUUGUUGGAGAAGAAUGGUCGGCAGAAUAACUGUUGUCGGCGUGACGGUAUCCAACCAGAAAGCCACGGCUAACUACGUGCCAGCAGCCGCGGUAAUACGUAGGUGGCAAGCGUUAUCCGGAUUUAUUGGGCGUAAAGCGAGCGCAGGCGGUUUUUUAAGUCUGAUGUGAAAGCCCUCGGCUUAACCGAGGAAGUGCAUCGGAAACUGGGAAACUUGAGUGCAGAAGAGGACAGUGGAACUCCAUGUGUAGCGGUGAAAUGCGUAGAUAUAUGGAAGAACACCAGUGGCGAAGGCGGCUGUCUGGUCUGUAACUGA
RNAcentral lists this ribosomal RNA (721 nucleotides) under Lactobacillus sp. HXF0061. RNAcentral describes it as "bacterial SSU rRNA". It matches the Rfam family "Bacterial small subunit ribosomal RNA", at positions 34 to 743 of the family's 1533-position model. Lineage: Bacteria; Bacillati; Bacillota; Bacilli; Lactobacillales; Lactobacillaceae. The record is from RNAcentral.